Long non-coding RNA from Cygnus olor (mute swan), 535 nucleotides. RefSeq lists it as uncharacterized. The record is from RefSeq and is a predicted model, not a curated record. NCBI's taxonomy places the organism in Eukaryota, Metazoa, Chordata, Aves, Anseriformes, Anatidae. The transcript is spliced from 2 exons.
GUAGCUACCAGGCAUGGACCUACCUCCUAAAGAGACCAAAGUUCUCCGCUACCAGCCCGGGAGGAAUCUGGGGCUGCUAUCCAGAACCAAACCUCUCUCAGGAGGUAGACAAAAGCCAUAAACUUUUCCAAAACAUGUUACAAAGGCACGCUCGCGAGGACGCAAGGGGAACGACCAGGCACGCACCUACCUUCAAAAGGGACAAGAGCUCUCCAGUACCUGCUGUGGACGAAUCUGGGACUACUACCCAGACAAAGGGAACUGGGCACUCGUCAAUACACCUGCCCUGGAGCGCUUCUGGAUGCUGCAUGAGUUUCUCUCUCCCUGCAAUUCGGUAAAGAACACGCUGCAAAAUGCCUGGCAGGAAUCAACUCCCUGCUCACCAGCUACUUGUGCACCUUUCAGCUGGCCCACGAUCAGCUGUUGGAACACAGAGUCGUGAGAAAAGAAAAUUCUCAGCUAUCUGCCCUGGAGGAAUGUGAGGCUGCUAUGCAGAACCAAACCACCCUGAGGAGAUAUAAAAAAGCCAAAGAGU